UGUGAGGCUAGGACAAAAUAUUGUAUGCGGAGGUUCUUUGUAAAGUAUAAAGUCCACUAGACUUUAAAAUAUUUUUGUUAGAAGGCAGUCGAGCAAGAGCAGAUGACGGCCUGGACUUCGGAGUCAGACACGAAUUUCAAGUCUGAUCCUGGCUGAUGUUGGAUAGUCAGUUUUGCUUGACGCUUGGGCAAAAUGGGGUACCAGGGUUUGGAGACUAACCAAAAAAACAUAAUUUCAGGUAAAGGAUGUUUUAUGAGCAAAGGUAUGGAAGUGAAAACGGGAAAGGUUAAGUCUUGAGGCGGAAAACCAGUAUUGAGACCAUUGCUGUAUUCCAGUUAAGCGAUAAGAGUCUUAACGGUAUUGGCAGUGGGAAUCUAGGGAAAGGAAUGGACGUGAGUGCUAUUAAGGUGGUAGAAUUGACAGUACUGAGCGGGGGAUACGUGAGUAGGCCAAGUUUCUAGUGUGGAUGCCGGAGUAGAUGGUGGAACGGGUGGAACCGUUUCACAAGAUGAGAAGAUGAGUCUGGGUUAUCCACAAGUCUCUGUACUAAGUUAAUAGAUAGUGGUGUUGACAGUCUUGAAGGUUGAUCAGAUUUGUGGGAUGAGACGAUGAUGAGUUCAAAUAUAGAUAUAUUUGUGGGGGAAACCGUCUCCACUCAUAAGGUCUCUUUCCAGGUGAAGUGAAUCCAUUAAGAUAACACUCCUGGCCUCUCACUGCGCAUUCUCCAGCUCCCUCCUCCCUCAAGCAGUAACUUCCUGAUUGAUGAAUGUAAAAGGAGAAACCUGGGGCGCCUGAGUGGCUCAGUAGAUUAAGUGGUUAAGUGGUUAAGCAUCUGACUGUUGGUUUCAGCUCAGGUCAUGACCUCACAGUUUGUAGGUUCAAGCCUUGCAUGGGCAGGGUGCAAUGCUCUAGUGUUCUCCUGUUCUGAAAGACCAGGACCUGGGGUGAGUUUGAGAUGCCUGGUUCAGGGUUACAAAGUUAGUAAACCUAUUUAAUUUCAGAGGUUGGCAUUGUGAAGCUCACUGUCCACAGCAGUAUCAGAUACCAGCUUUGCCAGUUGUAUUAUACAGAGUAAUGUCCCCCCUCCCCAAGGAUGUUCAUGCCCUAAUCCCCAGAAUCUGUGACUAUGUUCCCUCCCUUACAUGGCAAAAGGGACUUUGCAGAUAGUGAUUAAGUUAAGAAUCUUGAGAUGGAGAGAUUAUUUUAGAUGAUCUAGCUGGGCUUGGAGGCAGGAAGGUCAAAAUCAGGGAUAGAGCUAUGAUGAUGGAAACAAAGGUCAGAGACAAAGAGAGAUUUGAAGAAUCUGCACUGCUGGUAUUGAAGAUGGAGCCAAGGAAGGCAGACAGGUCUGGAAGAUGGGAAAGGCGAGGAAAUGGAUUCUUCCAUAAAGCCGCCAGAAAGAACGCAGCUCUGCCAAUACCUUGAUUUUAGAGCAGUUCUGAUUUCCAGAACUCUAAGGCAAUGUGAAUUAUAUAACUGGCUGUUGUCUCCUUUUGCUUUGACUGCCAAGAAGCUCUGAGUAAAUUUGUGGCUCAGCAUUAGCAACUGGGUUGGCCUGCAUGUCUGUAUUCUGUUGGCUUGAAAUUUUUCAAAAUAAAAUGUUGGGGGGAAAAUCA
This is a long non-coding RNA of Hyaena hyaena (striped hyena), 1616 nucleotides long. RefSeq lists it as uncharacterized. The record is from RefSeq and is a predicted model, not a curated record. The transcript has 2 exons. NCBI's taxonomy places the organism in Eukaryota, Metazoa, Chordata, Mammalia, Carnivora, Hyaenidae.